AAAUUGAAGAGUUUGAUCAUGGCUCAGAUUGAACGCUGGCGGCAGGCCUAACACAUGCAAGUCGAACGGUAACAGGAAGCAGCUUGCUGCUUUGCUGACGAGUGGCGGACGGGUGAGUAAUGUCUGGGAAACUGCCCGAUGGAGGGGGAUAACUACUGGAAACGGUAGCUAAUACCGCAUAACGUCGCAAGACCAAAGAGGGGGACCUUAGGGCCUCUUGCCAUCGGAUGUGCCCAGAUGGGAUUAGCUAGUAGGUGGGGUAAAGGCUCACCUAGGCGACGAUCCCUAGCUGGUCUGAGAGGAUGACCAGCCACACUGGAACUGAGACACGGUCCAGACUCCUACGGGAGGCAGCAGUGGGGAAUAUUGCACAAUGGGCGCAAGCCUGAUGCAGCCAUGCCGCGUGUAUGAAGAAGGCCUUCGGGUUGUAAAGUACUUUCAGCGGGGAGGAAGGGAGUAAAGUUAAUACCUUUGCUCAUUGACGUUACCCGCAGAAGAAGCACCGGCUAACUCCGUGCCAGCAGCCGCGGUAAUACGGAGGGUGCAAGCGUUAAUCGGAAUUACUGGGCGUAAAGCGCACGCAGGCGGUUUGUUAAGUCAGAUGUGAAAUCCCCGGGCUCAACCUGGGAACUGCAUCUGAUACUGGCAAGCUUGAGUCUCGUAGAGGGGGGUAGAAUUCCAGGUGUAGCGGUGAAAUGCGUAGAGAUCUGGAGGAAUACCGGUGGCGAAGGCGGCCCCCUGGACGAAGACUGACGCUCAGGUGCGAAAGCGUGGGGAGCAAACAGGAUUAGAUACCCUGGUAGUCCACGCCGUAAACGAUGUCGACUUGGAGGUUGUGCCCUUGAGGCGUGGCUUCCGGAGCUAACGCGUUAAGUCGACCGCCUGGGGAGUACGGCCGCAAGGUUAAAACUCAAAUGAAUUGACGGGGGCCCGCACAAGCGGUGGAGCAUGUGGUUUAAUUCGAUGCAACGCGAAGAACCUUACCUGGUCUUGACAUCCACGGAAGUUUUCAGAGAUGAGAAUGUGCCUUCGGGAACCGUGAGACAGGUGCUGCAUGGCUGUCGUCAGCUCGUGUUGUGAAAUGUUGGGUUAAGUCCCGCAACGAGCGCAACCCUUAUCCUUUGUUGCCAGCGGUCCGGCCGGGAACUCAAAGGAGACUGCCAGUGAUAAACUGGAGGAAGGUGGGGAUGACGUCAAGUCAUCAUGGCCCUUACGACCAGGGCUACACACGUGCUACAAUGGCGCAUACAAAGAGAAGCGACCUCGCGAGAGCAAGCGGACCUCAUAAAGUGCGUCGUAGUCCGGAUUGGAGUCUGCAACUCGACUCCAUGAAGUCGGAAUCGCUAGUAAUCGUGGAUCAGAAUGCCACGGUGAAUACGUUCCCGGGCCUUGUACACACCGCCCGUCACACCAUGGGAGUGGGUUGCAAAAGAAGUAGGUAGCUUAACCUUCGGGAGGGCGCUUACCACUUUGUGAUUCAUGACUGGGGUGAAGUCGUAACAAGGUAACCGUAGGGGAACCUGCGGUUGGAUCACCUCCUUA
This 1542-nucleotide ribosomal RNA is filed under the name Escherichia coli. RNAcentral's name for it is "bacterial SSU rRNA". It matches the Rfam family "Bacterial small subunit ribosomal RNA". Lineage: Bacteria; Pseudomonadati; Pseudomonadota; Gammaproteobacteria; Enterobacterales; Enterobacteriaceae. The record is from RNAcentral. RNAcentral also lists the same sequence under 1 other name.